CUGAAACCGUGUACGUACAAGCAGUGGGAGCCCCACCACCAAAGCAUUCUCUGGUGUUGAAGGCCCUGCAAAGCAGCAUCGCGGUGGCGGAGCGUCGUUUGCGACGCCCAACACACAAAACAAGCGGUGAGUGCUUUGGGGUGGGGUGACUGCGUACCUUUUGUAUAAUGGGUCAGCGACUUAUAUUCUGUAGCAAGGUUAACCGUAUAGGGGAGCCGCAGGGAAACCGAGUCUUAACCGGGCGUUAAGUUGCAGGGUAUAGACCCGAAACCCGGUGAUCUAGCCAUGGGCAGGUUGAAGGUUGGGUAACACUAACUGGAGGACCGAACCGACUAAUGUUGAAAAAUUAGCGGAUGACCUGUGGCUGGGGGUGAAAGGCCAAUCAAACCGGGAGAUAGCUGGUUCUCCCCGAAAGCUAUUUAGGUAGCGCCUCGUGAAUUCAUCUCCGGGGGUAGAGCACUGUUUCGGCUAGGGGGCCAUCCCGGCUUACCAACCCGAUGCAAACUGCGAAUACCGGAGAAUGUUAUCACGGGAGACACACGGCGGGUGCUAACGUCCGUCGUGAAGAGGGAAACAACCCAGACCGCCAGCUAAGGUCCCAAAGUCAUGGUUAAGUGGGAAACGAUGUGGGAAGGCCCAGACAGCCAGGAUGUUGGCUUAGAAGCAGCCAUCAUUUAAAGAAAGCGUAAUAGCUCACUGGUCGAGUCGGCCUGCGCGGAAGAUGUAACGGGGCUAAACCAUGCACCGAAGCUGCGGCAGCGAACGUAUCACUUAAAGCGAUUCAGCGGGUUACGAUUGACGGAGCGAAGCGACGUCAAAGCGUAUACAAAGUCGAGUCGGUUUAAGGAUACGUUCGUUGGGUAGGGGAGCGUUCUGUAAGCCUGUGAAGGUGGCCUGUGAGGGUUGCUGGAGGUAUCAGAAGUGCGAAUGCUGACAUAAGUAACGAUAAAGCGGGUGAAAAGCCCGCUCGCCGGAAGACCAAGGGUUCCUGUCCAACGUUAAUCGGGGCAGGGUGAGUCGACCCCUAAGGCGAGGCCGAAAGGCGUAGUCGAUGGGAAACGGGUUAAUAUUCCCGUACUUGGUGUUACUGCGAAGGGGGGACGGAGAAGGCUAUGUUGGCCGGGCGACGGUUGUCCCGGUUUAAGCGUGUAGGUGUGUGUUCCAGGUAAAUCCGGUUCACUUUAACACUGAGGCGUGACGACGAGGCACUACGGUGCUGAAGCAACAAAUGCCCUGCUUCCAGGAAAAGCCUCUAAGCAUCAGGUAACAUCAAAUCGUACCCCAAACCGACACAGGUGGUCAGGUAGAGAAUACCAAGGCGCUUGAGAGAACUCGGGUGAAGGAACUAGGCAAAAUGGUGCCGUAACUUCGGGAGAAGGCACGCUGACACGUAGGUGAAGUGAUUUACUCAUGGAGCUGAAGUCAGUCGAAGAUACCAGCUGGCUGCAACUGUUUAUUAAAAACACAGCACUGUGCAAACACGAAAGUGGACGUAUACGGUGUGACGCCUGCCCGGUGCCGGAAGGUUAAUUGAUGGGGUCAGCGCAAGCGAAGCUCCUGAUCGAAGCCCCGGUAAACGGCGGCCGUAACUAUAACGGUCCUAAGGUAGCGAAAUUCCUUGUCGGGUAAGUUCCGACCUGCACGAAUGGCGUAAUGAUGGCCAGGCUGUCUCCACCCGAGACUCAGUGAAAUUGAACUCGCUGUGAAGAUGCAGUGUACCCGCGGCAAGACGGAAAGACCCCGUGAACCUUUACUAUAGCUUGACACUGAACAUUGAGCCUUGAUGUGUAGGAUAGGUGGGAGGCUUUGAAGUGUGGACGCCAGUCUGCAUGGAGCCGACCUUGAAAUACCACCCUUUAAUGUUUGAUGUUCUAACGUGGACCCGUAAUCCGGGUUGCGGACAGUGUCUGGUGGGUAGUUUGACUGGGGCGGUCUCCUCCUAAAGAGUAACGGAGGAGCACGAAGGUUGGCUAAUCCUGGUCGGACAUCAGGAGGUUAGUGCAAUGGCAUAAGCCAGCUUGACUGCGAGCGUGACGGCGCGAGCAGGUGCGAAAGCAGGUCAUAGUGAUCCGGUGGUUCUGAAUGGAAGGGCCAUCGCUCAACGGAUAAAAGGUACUCCGGGGAUAACAGGCUGAUACCGCCCAAGAGUUCAUAUCGACGGCGGUGUUUGGCACCUCGAUGUCGGCUCAUCACAUCCUGGGGCUGAAGUAGGUCCCAAGGGUAUGGCUGUUCGCCAUUUAAAGUGGUACGCGAGCUGGGUUUAGAACGUCGUGAGACAGUUCGGUCCCUAUCUGCCGUGGGCGCUGGAGAACUGAGGGGGGCUGCUCCUAGUACGAGAGGACCGGAGUGGACGCAUCACUGGUGUUCGGGUUGUCAUGCCAAUGGCACUGCCCGGUAGCUAAAUGCGGAAGAGAUAAGUGCUGAAAGCAUCUAAGCACGAAACUUGCCCCGAGAUGAGUUCUCCCUGAGACUUAGAGUCUCCUGAAGGAACGUUGAAGACGACGACGUUGAUAGGCCGGGUGUGUAAGCGCAGCGAUGCGUUGAGCUAACCGGUACUAAUGAACCGUGAGGCUUAACCUU
This 2580-nucleotide ribosomal RNA is filed under the name Salmonella enterica subsp. enterica serovar Agona str. 58.E.08. RNAcentral describes it as "bacterial LSU rRNA". It matches the Rfam family "Bacterial large subunit ribosomal RNA", at positions 550 to 2925 of the family's 2925-position model. Lineage: Bacteria; Pseudomonadati; Pseudomonadota; Gammaproteobacteria; Enterobacterales; Enterobacteriaceae. The record is from RNAcentral.